This 502-nucleotide ribosomal RNA is filed under the name uncultured bacterium. RNAcentral describes it as "bacterial SSU rRNA". It matches the Rfam family "Bacterial small subunit ribosomal RNA", at positions 8 to 518 of the family's 1533-position model. The record is from RNAcentral.
AGAGUUUGAUCAUGGCUCAGGAUGAACGCUGGCGGCGCGCCUAACACAUGCAAGUCGAACGGUUAAAGCCCCGUUCGGGGGUGCAUAAAGUGGCGAACGGCUGAGUAACACGUGGGCAACCCUGCCCCCCGCUUCGGGAUAGGCCUCGGGAAACCGUGGGUAAUACCGGAUACUCCGCCCACCCCGCAUGGGGAGGGCGGGAAAGCGCAUACGGCGGGGGAUCGGGCCCGCGGCCUGUUAGCUCGUUGGCGGGGUAACGGCCCACCAAGGCUAUUAUGGGUAGCCGGGUUGAGAGACCGACCGGCCAGAUUGGGACUGAGACACGGCCCAGACUCCUACGGGAGGCAGCAGUGGGGAAUCUUGCACAAUGGGCGAAAGCCUGAUGCAGCGACGCCGCGUGCGGGAUGAAGGCCCUCGGGUUGUAAACCGCUUUCAGCAGGGACGAGGCGCAAGUGACGGUACCUGCAGAAGAAGCCCCGGCUAACUACGUGCCAGCCGCGGC